AAAUGGUCUUAAUUAACUUACAGAUCGUGCAGAAACUAAACAUCGUUAAUACUCUUGCCACCUUAUCCGACAGGCAGACACACCUAUCAUUAUACAGACCACACAAGAUUAACUCCAGUUUAAUCUAGAUGAUCAUAUUACAGAACAGAGCCAUAAGCACCCUAUUUCUGAGCAACAAGUGAUUAACUGUUGAGGAGCAGCAUAACCUUAAUCAACGUCAUCUCCAAUCCUCGACACACCGGCCCGACCUGCAGCAUCCACAUCUAUGCACUUGUCAGCUCACAACACCUCCAUGCUUUGCUCCAGCAUCUCCUUCUCAGCAACUUCGUGAGUACCUUCCCAAUAUACCAAAAUCAUUAUGUGGAAAUCAGCAUUCAGAACUCUGUCUAUUCAUUGUCACAUUGGUAUAAUAUUGACCACAACAACAUUUGAGGUAACAGCAAAUACAAGCUUUGAAGUGUUUACCAUUGUGAUCUGCAAUACAAGUUGGAAUACAUAGCCCGUCAAAUAGAAGUGCACAUAGAGAGAUAGAUCCUAAAAAAACUUAAGACUCAUGAAAUGAUAAAUAGCUUCGUGUGGCAGGACUUCAUAAAUUGCAACUACUAUAACGCAUUUCUAACUUGGGAAACUAAGGGUUCUAAGUAGCAACAAACAGAAAAUGAUGUGUGUCCUCUUACAAAAACUAAAUGUCUGCUUUUGGUGUGUGCCUAGAAGGAGUGAGAUAGAGGCGGGUGAGAUGUUUAAACUGUCCAAAAAUAUGGGUUUCCUGCCUCUAAUUUAUUUUCAGAAGAUUAUCUCAAAUCAAACAGUUACUGUGGGCAAGCUAUUCUCACUAUUUGAAUGGCAACUCCACUGAGUAUUUUUUGUAGGAAAAAGUCCCUUGAGAACUUAGUCAAGAUCGCGUAGGUUUUCUCAUAUCAUAUACAAGAGAUGCAUGCAUUUGUGGUAGCAAUGGCUCAGGUUUCUAUUUGAAUCAUACCAGCUAUGCAUCCUUAUGUAUCUAUCAAACUAAACAUAAGAGAAAUUUAUAUAGGAUGUAUCAUUUACCAAAAUAAGACUUUUCUGUCCCCUUAUAUCUAUCAAACGGAAGCAGACAAGACAAAUUCUUCUGAUUGAAUGAAUGUUUCCAAUGCAGGUCAACAUGGUUUCCAACUUAUAUUCUCAAUUAUCUUGACCACGAAAACCUUUUCACCAAAACAAUUGUGGCAAUCUAGUGCGCUUUACAAUUCUACAAUGCCUCCAAAAUGCCACUCAUAGUAGGCAAGAUCCUUUAUUUUACUUGUCUGAUUACCUAAGAAUGGCAAGCAGUGCAGAUAACCAAAUAAAUAAUCAUUGUUAUGUUCCUCAGCUUGAUUAGCGUUGCCACAAGCACAUGCCAAGUAACAACUAUCAUUGCCUGUAAAAAGAAUUAUCAAUUACAAUAAUGAAUACAUAGCAUCAGAAAGCUAUCUGAUAUGAAACGAGGGAGAUAACUACGAAUCAAAAGAAAGUUUACGGUGACGACAACAACGAUGGCGGGAAGUUACUAUAUGCGUGG
Molecule: long non-coding RNA, 1537 nt
Filed under: Triticum aestivum (bread wheat)
Lineage: Eukaryota; Viridiplantae; Streptophyta; Magnoliopsida; Poales; Poaceae
Description: long non-coding RNA (TAES_LNC011195)
Source: RNAcentral